This 301-nucleotide ribosomal RNA is filed under the name uncultured bacterium. Its description in RNAcentral is "partial 16S ribosomal RNA". It matches the Rfam family "Bacterial small subunit ribosomal RNA", at positions 509 to 808 of the family's 1533-position model. The record is from RNAcentral.
CAGUCGCCGCGGGAAUACGGAGGAUCCAAGCGUUAUCCGGAAUCAUUGGGUUUAAAGGGUCCGUAGGCGGUCUUGUAAGUCAGUGGUGAAAGCCCAUCGCUCAACGGUGGAACGGCCAUUGAUACUGCAGGACUUGAAUUAUUGGGAAGUAACUAGAAUAUGUAGUGUAGCGGUGAAAUGCUUAGAGAUUACAUGGAAUACCAAUUGCGAAGGCAGGUUACUACCAAUUGAUUGACGCUGAUGGACGAAAGCGUGGGUAGCGAACAGGAUUAGAUACCCUGUAGUCCCUGUCUCUUAUACA